GAUANCGGCGCGCCUAACACAUGCAAGUCGCACGAGAAAGGGCUUCGGCCCCGGUAAAAUGGCGCACGAAUGAGUAACACGUAGGUAAUCUCCCCUCGAAUGGUGGAUAACCCUCCGAAAGGAGAGCUAAUACAGCAUGAGACCACGAGCUCUUCGGAGCUUGCGGCCAAAACAGGCCUCUACAUGUAAGCUUGCGCUGGAGGAUGAGCCUGCGGCCCAUCAGGUAGUUAGCGGGAUAACGGCCCACCAAGCCAAAGACGGGUAGCUGGUCUGAGAGGAUGAACAGCCACACUGGAACUGACACACGGUCCAGACUCCUACGGGAGGCAGCAGUGGGGAAUCUUGCGCAAUGGGCGAAAGCCUGACGCAGCGACGCCGCGUGAGCGAUGAAGGCCUUCGGGUUGUAAAGCUCUGUGGGGAGGGAAGAAUAAGGGUUGGCUAAUACCCAGCUCGAUGACGGUACCUCCUUAGCAAGCACCGGCUAAACUCUGUGCCAGCAGCCGCGGUAAUACAGAGGGUGCAAAACCUUGUUCGGAAUUACUAAAACGUAAAGCGCGUGCCAAACCGGCCUUUGCCAAGUCGGACGUGAAAUCCCAUGACUUCAACCCAUGGAAGUGGCAUUUCCGAAAACUUGNGAGGGCUUG
This 644-nucleotide ribosomal RNA is filed under the name uncultured bacterium. Its description in RNAcentral is "bacterial SSU rRNA". It matches the Rfam family "Bacterial small subunit ribosomal RNA", at positions 35 to 644 of the family's 1533-position model. The record is from RNAcentral.